GACGAACGCUGGCGGCGUGCUUAACACAUGCAAGUCGAACGGAAAGGCCCUGCUUUUGUGGGGUGCUCGAGUGGCGAACGGGUGAGUAACACGUGAGUAACCUGCCCUUGACUUUGGGAUAACUUCAGGAAACUGGGGCUAAUACCGGAUAGGAGCUCCUGUUGCAUUGUGGGGGUUGGAAAUUUUCGGCUGGUGGGGAUGGACUCGCGGCUUAUCAGCUUGUUGGUGGGGUAGUGGCUUACCAAGGCUUUGACGGGUAGCCGGCCUGAGAGGGUGACCGGCCACAUUGGGACUGAGAUACGGCCCAGACUCCUACGGGAGGCAGCAGUGGGGAAUAUUGCACAAUGGGCGGAAGCCUGAUGCAGCAACGCCGCGUGCGGGAUGACGGCCUUCGGGUUGUAAACCGCUUUCGCCUGUGACGAAGCGUGAGUGACGGUAAUGGGUAAAGAAGCACCGGCUAACUACGUG
This 468-nucleotide ribosomal RNA is filed under the name uncultured bacterium. Its description in RNAcentral is "partial 16S ribosomal RNA". It matches the Rfam family "Bacterial small subunit ribosomal RNA", at positions 28 to 507 of the family's 1533-position model. The record is from RNAcentral.